This 1205-nucleotide long non-coding RNA is filed under the name Sus scrofa (pig). Its description in RNAcentral is "lncRNA (ENSSSCG00030057032.1)". The record is from RNAcentral. Lineage: Eukaryota; Metazoa; Chordata; Mammalia; Artiodactyla; Suidae.
AAAGAAAAAAAAAAUACAUAUAUAUAUACACAUUGGCCUGGAGAGGUGUGGGGAUGAGCAUAGUUUUUUGCUUUCUAGCUACCAUAGGAAAAUAAGUGGUCCUGGCCCCCUCCCUCCAUCACUGACUAUGCAGGUUUGUUCCACCAUCCCCUCUCCUGCCACUUUCCUCUUCUUUCCACUUCUAUCUCUCAGAAAAAUUACUCUUGUAAACUUUACGUAUCAUUUUAUGUUCUGCAUUUAAAGGGAGAGGAACAUGUUUGGUAGCAAUUUUAUUUUCCUCCCCAGAGCAAACUCUUCCUAGAUUUCUCUCGAUGUUUCUCUGAUGCUCCUACCCACUCUUGCUGUUUUAUUACCUUCACUGCCACACUCUGUUCUUUGCUCUUUCUUCUAUUUUUCUCUCCUGAAAUCAUGGCCCCCAGAGAGUACGUACAUGACACAUUCAUGAAGUUGAUCUCUGUCCUAUCCCCUCUCCUGUGCCCAUCCCAGGCUGUUUGUUUCUUUGAUUUUAAAAUUAUAUUCCUAGCAUGAAAUCCAUUAGUGUGAGGUGUCCAGGAAAUGCACAUGUGGAGGGUUAUCCUUUCUAUAAGUAUAUUUCCUAUCACCUGGAAAGCAUCCUGAAGGGCCCUGUUCCCUCUUUCUCUACUGUUGUUUUUUUUUGUUGCUAAUUUUGUUAUUUUUCUUCUUUUUUAUUAUCAUGCAAAUUUGAAAGCGACAGAGGGGGAAACAGAGGAGGCUUAUAAAAAGAAGAGACAGAGGAUAUUGGAGGGAUCUCCUUUCAGUCUCAUAAGGAUUCAUAGCAUGUCAAAGUCCAUGCUGAGAGCUAAGAAAGAGCCCUAUGGAACUCCUCUAUGACAAGGGACAUAAAAGGUCCAAAAGGACACAACUACAAGACACAGGACUCAAACUCCGUCUGGCUUUAUUGAAUGUGGUAACUCCCAGCAUUUACGAACAUUAACAGGGUCUGCAGAAGCCACCCUCAGCGUUGACAGCAUGGCUCCCUUUGGUACCAGCAUGGUCCCUUGGGUACCAGCAUGGCUCCCUUUGGCACAAAGGUUACAGCUUCCAGGAAUCAGAAAAAGUGAUGCCAAUUUAAAGGAUUUUCAUAGUCAGAUAUUUUGCUCUGAAGAAACUUCGUUAGAUAUAAAUAAAAUUAAUAUUGAAUCCCUGCUUUACCUUUGAUUUUUAUUUCCUCAAUUUAAAUCCCC